UCUCCUGGAAACGGGUGGUAAUGCCGGAUGUUCCACAUGAGCGCAUGCGAGUGUGGGAAAGGCUUUUUGCGGCAUGGGAUGGGGUCGCGUCCUAUCAGCUUGUUGGUGGGGUAACGGCCUACCAAGGCGUUGACGGGUAGCCGGCCUGAGAGGGCGACCGGCCACAUUGGGACUGAGGUACGGCCCAGACUCCUACGGGAGGCAGCAGUGGGGAAUAUUGCACAAUGGGCGCAAGCCUGAUGCAGCGACGCCGCGUGCGGGAUGGAGGCCUUCGGGUUGUAAACCGCUUUUGUUCAAGGGCAAGGCACGGUUUCGGCCGUGUUGAGUGGAUUGUUCGAAUAAGCACCGGCUAACUACGUGCCAGCAGCCGCGGUAAUACGUAGGGUGCAAGCGUUAUCCGGAUUUAUUGGGCGUAAAGGGCUCGUAGGCGGUUCGUCGCGUCCGGUGUGAAAGUCCAUCGCUUAACGGUGGAUCCGCGCCGGGUACGGGCGGGCUUGAGUGCGGUAGGGGAGACUGGAAUUCCCGGUGUAACGGUGGAAUGUGUAGAUAUCGGGAAGAACACCA
RNAcentral lists this ribosomal RNA (564 nucleotides) under uncultured Bifidobacterium sp. RNAcentral's name for it is "bacterial SSU rRNA". It matches the Rfam family "Bacterial small subunit ribosomal RNA", at positions 146 to 711 of the family's 1533-position model. Lineage: Bacteria; Bacillati; Actinomycetota; Actinomycetes; Bifidobacteriales; Bifidobacteriaceae. The record is from RNAcentral.